Molecule: ribosomal RNA, 253 nt
Filed under: uncultured bacterium
Lineage: Bacteria
Description: partial 16S ribosomal RNA
Rfam family: Bacterial small subunit ribosomal RNA
Source: RNAcentral
UACGAAGGGGGCUAGCGUUGCUCGGAAUUACUGGGCGUAAAGCGCACGUAGGCGGCUUUCUAAGUCGGGGGUGAAAUCCUGGAGCUCAACUCCAGAACUGCCUUCGAUACUGGAGAGCUCGAGUCCGGGAGAGGUGAGUGGAACUGCGAGUGUAGAGGCGAAAUUCGUAGAUAUUCGCAAGAACACCAGUGGCGAAGGCGGCUCACUGGCCCGGUACUGACGCUGAGGUGCGAAAGCGUGGGGAGCAAACAGG